UUUCCGAAAACAUUUCGGAAGGAUAAAACUUGUUCUCCCAAAAAAACCGCUGAAAAACCCCUACGUUAAUCGCGGAAAAAGGAAACACAACAAAACGAUUACACAGCUCGGUCGCUACGUAGCGACCGAGCUGUGUAAUCGUUUUGUUGUGUUUCCUUUUUCCGCGAUUAACGUAGGGGUUUUUCAGCGGUUUUUUUGGGAGAACAAGUUUUAUCCUUCCGAAAUGUUUUCGG
This 233-nucleotide microRNA precursor is filed under the name Brassica rapa (field mustard). RNAcentral's name for it is "miR9564 stem-loop (bra-MIR9564)". Lineage: Eukaryota; Viridiplantae; Streptophyta; Magnoliopsida; Brassicales; Brassicaceae. The record is from miRBase by way of RNAcentral.